UGAGGGAAUAUUGGGUCAAUGGACGGGAGUCUGAACCAGCCAAGUAGCGUGCAGGAUGACGGCCCUAUGGGUUGUAAACUGCUUUUAUAGGGGGAUAAAGUGUGCCACGUGUGGCAUAUUGCAGGUACCCUAUGAAUAAGGACCGGCUAAUUCCGUGCCAGCAGCCGCGGUAAUACGGAAGGUCCAGGCGUUAUCCGGAUUCAUUGGGUUUAAAGGAGCGUAGGCCGCCUUUUAAGCGUGUUGUGAAAUGUAGGGGCUCAACCCCUGCACUGCAGCGCGAACUGGAGGGCUUGAGUACACACAAAGUAGGCGGAAUUCAUGGUGUAGCGGUGAAAUGCUUAGAUAUCAUGAAGAACCCCGAUUGCGAAGGCAGCUUACUGGAGUGUAACUGACGCUGAAGCUCGAAAGCGCGGGUAUCGAACAGGAUUAGAUACCCUGGGUAGU
RNAcentral lists this ribosomal RNA (444 nucleotides) under uncultured Prevotella sp. RNAcentral's name for it is "bacterial SSU rRNA". It matches the Rfam family "Bacterial small subunit ribosomal RNA", at positions 354 to 794 of the family's 1533-position model. The record is from RNAcentral. Lineage: Bacteria; Pseudomonadati; Bacteroidota; Bacteroidia; Bacteroidales; Prevotellaceae.